RNAcentral lists this ribosomal RNA (253 nucleotides) under uncultured bacterium. RNAcentral's name for it is "partial 16S ribosomal RNA". It matches the Rfam family "Bacterial small subunit ribosomal RNA", at positions 524 to 776 of the family's 1533-position model. The record is from RNAcentral.
UACGAAGGGGGCUAGCGUUGCUCGGAAUCACUGGGCGUAAAGCGCACGUAGGCGGAUUGCUAAGUCAGGGGUGAAAUCCUGGAGCUCAACUCCAGAACUGCCUUUGAUACUGGCGACCUUGAGUCCGGGAGAGGUGAGUGGAACUGCGAGUGUAGAGGUGAAAUUCGUAGAUAUUCGCAAGAACACCAGUGGCGAAGGCGACUCACUGGCCCGGUACUGACGCUGAGGUGCGAAAGCGUGGGGAGCAAACAGG